AGCAGAAGACACUUGCCCAAGGUGCCACGCAGUGGGACUGAACCCAGAACCAUGUGGUUGGUAAGCAAGCUACUUACCACACAGCCACUCCAUAUGUGUUCUUUUUUUAUAACUUCAUUAAAACAAUUGUGUGUGUGUGUGUGUGUGAGAGAGAGAGAGGUGUAAGUUUGUGAAUGUGUGCAUGUGUAUUAGAAUAGAAUAUCUGAAGAAGAUCUAAGAAAAGGCUGAUAAAAAUAUUUUUGUUGUUCAGCUUCAGGUCAGCUUUGAUCUACAAUCAAAGGUAUUUCAGUAGUGACUAUCUCUUCUUUUGAUUUUCAGACAUGAUGUUGCAUUGAACUAUUUAAGGAGGUAUGGUGUGGUUUGAAGAUAAUUUGAUUACUAUUUCUAGCAGAUCAAGCAAUUACACAGCAGCUAUCUCUCUUUGGCUCACUACUAAAAAGACAGAAAGAUAAGAUCAGAAGUUUAUGAAAUUUUAAAUUAAUUCAUCUUCAUGUGAGCAAAAUCUUUGAUUAUGGAAAGACUGACCACCUAAGUUAUGUUUUAACACGAGUUCUCAAUUCAUGCACUUGAUAUUUUAUGAUUUAUAAACUGAUUUCAUAUUCCAGAAGUAUAUCAAAUUAUUUUAACCCAGCCACACCUUUCUGGCAUCAAAUUGUACCUUCCCAAUCACUUUCAUUAAUAAUACAGCAUGAGCCAAUAGAAGAAAAGAAAAAAGCCUUAAGAUCAAAACAAUAAUUUAAUAUUUGAUAUGUAUGUCUUAAGACCAAAAGCAAUAAUUUAAUAUGUAUCCUUAAAAAUGUAAAUUUAAUGGUUCAUUAUUUUUCUUAAGAACCAUGCAUUUCUGCAGGCUCUUUUGUACUUGUAAUUUGCUCUUGAUAUUGAAACAGUUCCUUUACCAUCCACUUGGUUUUCCAUAAAAGUACAUAAUUUUUAUUACAUAUUCUCUAAACAUCUCUAAUAUUUGGGAAUUAAUAACAAUAAAUUAAGAUGCAUUAUUUUGUUGGUAAGUAAAUAUAUUAAUUUCUGCUUUGUAUAAUUAAAAUGGAUAUUGAGGUAGUAAAGAAGUGAAAGAAAAAUUGCAUAGUUUUAUUCAGAAGAGGAAGGGCAGUUGCUACCACUUUUUUUUUCAGAACCUUUGUGAACAGCAGGAGGAAAGGAGAAAGUCCUGUCUUCGGACCUAGAUCACAUACAUACAAUAGAACGGACUCCACAAAAGGAUCCCAAGGGCUAAGUAACAAUGUUUACCUGGUACACGAAUUAAAUUGACUAUCUAGUCUUUUAAGAUGAUGGGACAUGAAUUGAGGUAGACUAAGCUAUUCUUUUUUAGCAGGUUGCAACCAUAGUGAGAUUUCUUAAUUGGUUCAUAUUAGAUUGUUUUAAAAGGGAAUAUGAAUAUUAUUCUUGUCAAUAUAUUAACUUGUUUAUCAAUAAAUUUUACUGAUUUAAUGAUUAGUGAAAGAUUGGAUCUGACUUGCUACUACUAACUCAUCAAAAUGUGUGUGGAUAUGUGCUAAGUAUUGUAUAGUCCUAGGUCAGCCUCAAUUAAGCAGAACUAUUAUCAAAUGCUUUUCAUCUGUAACCAUACCAGCUUUUUUGUAUAAACAGUAUCUUUAUUGUCUAAAUGUCUCUCUAUCUUCAUUUCAGAUUGUAAGAUGUAAUCUGAAGGAGAUUUAGCCAUAAUUUCUAGCUUGGCUAGAAGUAAUGUAAGUGUGUACUUCCAUGCGAGUAUAUGUGUACUGGCACAUGCAGGUUGAAGAACGGAAAAAUUUUUGCAUGCACAGUUUUCUAAAUUGAUAAAAUACACUACAGGUGUGUGUGUGUGUGUGUGUGUGCGCGUGUGUGUGUGUGUGUUAAAAUAUAAUAAAUAUAUAUUGUGGUAACUUCUAGAACAAUUUAUCUCUUUCAAAUUGUUAUGGGAUUUGCUAGCACUAAACAAUUUUUUAUAGAGUUUAUUACAAUUUAAAAAGUCCACUAAAUGAUGAGAAAGAAUUUCUCAAGGGAUCCUAAUUUGACGACUAGAAAUAAAAAUAACAGGCCAUUUCAAGUACUGAGUGCAGCUAGUGUAACUGCAAUCAAUGAGAGAACUCAAUUAAUUAAUUUCAUGUCUUAUAAUUGGCACAAAAGUUUAGCUGGAGUAGAUUUGGAUCAUUACCAGGAUAAUUACUGUCUGUUUGUCUCUAUCAACAGUCAACUGAUAUUUGGAGUGAUAAUCCAGAAAUGUGCUUCAAUUAAGUGUCAUACUAAGAAUUCAUUAUUUGAUAACACUACAAAGAAUUUAUUCACUGGAAUAUGUAACAAAUUGGAAAUUCAUUAGCCACACAUAUUUUAUUACAUUAGAAAGUAGCCAGAGGAAGAAGAGGAGUGCUUAUGACAAGUAAAGAAACUGAGCUUGCAGUUAUCUUCAAAUUGGAAACCUAGCCCAAAUUUUGGCAGAAAGUAGAUUUGGAUAAAGGCAAACAACAUCCAGGUUGUUGUAUUAAAUGAGAAUUGUCAGAGCCUUGCAGUAACUGUUCCAAGUCCAAAUUUUGUCAAGCUGGAUGCCUUUCCUACUGCAAGCCAGUCAACUGUGAAGGAAGUUUAGUCAGGCAAACACAAGCAAGCAGAGUUUAUACCUUGUUCAAAAGCACUAGACAAUGACUGAAGCAAGAUCUGAAUUUAUGACCAUGUGAUCAAUUGACCAGCCUCACAGUGUAACAACUAUUGGGUUUAAUUUCAUUUAUAAUUUUUUUUUUCUGUUUUCAAUUUUUAAUCCAAAUAAAAUUAUGGAUUCUCAGCAGUGAGUUAAAUUCAAUUGUUUAAUAAGUUUGAAACUUAACUAAAUAUUUAUUGUAAA
Long non-coding RNA from Octopus bimaculoides (California two-spot octopus), 2833 nucleotides. RefSeq lists it as uncharacterized. NCBI's taxonomy places the organism in Eukaryota, Metazoa, Mollusca, Cephalopoda, Octopoda, Octopodidae. The record is from RefSeq and is a predicted model, not a curated record.